Molecule: ribosomal RNA, 371 nt
Filed under: uncultured Glomeromycotina
Lineage: Eukaryota; Fungi; Glomeromycota
Description: eukaryotic LSU rRNA
Source: RNAcentral
UUGAAAGGGAAACGAUUGAAGUCAGUCGUACCGACGAGAAAUCAACUUAUCGUGUGCGAACUUGUGGGCGUGCGUGAGUUUCGGCCUCGCUGUUUGCAUGUUUGUGCGUUUUGGGUGUACUUUUUCGUAUGGUAGGCCAACGUCAGUUUCGAUUAUCAUAAAAUGACCGGCGGAAUGUAGCUUCGAUUUCGGUUGAAGUGUUAUAGCCUCUGGUAGAUGUGGUGAUUGAGACUGAGGAUUGCAACGAAUACCCUUUGGGCUAUCCGUCUGGCCUCUGAAAGUUGCUCAGGUGCCGAAAGCGUGCUUACGGUCAUCUAAGAUAACGUUCAACAGGUUAGAACGUGAUUACAUUCGUUAAGGAUGUUGAUGUA